GACGAACGCUGGCGGCGUGCUUAACACAUGCAAGUCGAACGGAAAGGCCCUGCUUUUGUGGGGUGCUCGAGUGGCGAACGGGUGAGUAACACGUGAGUAACCUGCCCUUGACUUUGGGAUAACUUCAGGAAACUGGGGCUAAUACCGGAUAGGAGCUCCUGCUGCAUGGUGGGGGUUGGAAAGUUUCGGCGGUUGGGGAUGGACUCGCGGCUUAUCAGCUUGUUGGUGGGGUAGUGGCUUACCAAGGCUUUGACGGGUAGCCGGCCUGAGAGGGUGACCGGCCACAUUGGGACUGAGAUACGGCCCAGACUCCUACGGGAGGCAGCAGUGGGAAAUAUUGCACAAUGGGCGGAAGUCUGAUGCAGCAACGCCGCGUGCGGGAUGACGGCCUUCGGGUUGUAAACCGCUUUCGCCUGUGACGAAGCGUGAGUGACGGUAAUGGGUAAAGAAGCACCGGCUAACUACGUG
RNAcentral lists this ribosomal RNA (468 nucleotides) under uncultured bacterium. RNAcentral describes it as "partial 16S ribosomal RNA". It matches the Rfam family "Bacterial small subunit ribosomal RNA", at positions 28 to 507 of the family's 1533-position model. The record is from RNAcentral.